This 602-nucleotide ribosomal RNA is filed under the name uncultured fungus. RNAcentral describes it as "eukaryotic LSU rRNA". It matches the Rfam family "Eukaryotic large subunit ribosomal RNA", at positions 37 to 654 of the family's 3401-position model. Lineage: Eukaryota; Fungi. The record is from RNAcentral.
AGCAUAUCAAUAAGCGGAGGAAAAGAAACCAACAGGGAUUGCCCUAGUAACGGCGAGUGAAGCGGCAACAGCUCAAAUUUGAAAUCUGGCUCUUUUAGGGUCCGAGUUGUAAUUUGCAGAGGGCGCUUUGGCGUCGGCAGCGGUCUAAGUUCUUUGGAACAGGACGUCACAGAGGGUGAGAAUCCCGUACGUGGUCGCUAGCCUUCGCCGUGUAAAGCCCCUUCGACGAGUCGAGUUGUUUGGGAAUGCAGCUCUAAAUGGGAGGUAAAUUUCUUCUAAAGCUAAAUACUGGCCAGAGACCGAUAGCGCACAAGUAGAGUGAUCGAAAGAUGAAAAGCACUUUGGAAAGAGAGUCAAAUAGCACGUGAAAUUGUUGAAAGGGAAGCGCUUGCAGCCAGACUUGCCUGUAGUUGCUUAUCCGGACUUUUGUCCGGUGCACUCUUCUGCGGGCAGGCCAGCAUCAGUUUGGGCGGUUGGAUAAAGGUCUCUGUCAUGUACCUCUCUUCGGGGAGGCCUUAUAGGGGAGACGACAUGCAACCAGCCUGGACUGAGGUCCGCGCAUCUGCUAGGAUGCUGGCGUAAUGGCUGUAAGCGGCCCGUCU